Molecule: ribosomal RNA, 515 nt
Filed under: uncultured bacterium
Lineage: Bacteria
Description: partial 16S ribosomal RNA
Rfam family: Bacterial small subunit ribosomal RNA
Source: RNAcentral
GACGAACGCUGGCGGCGUGCCUAAUACAUGCAAGUCGAACGCUUCUUACCGGUGCUUGCACCGGGAAAGAAGAGUGGCGGACGGGUGAGUAACACGUGGGUAACCUACCUACAAGCGGGGGAUAACAUUCGGAAACGGAUGCUAAUACCGCAUAGAUCUUUUUGUCUCCUGACAGAAAGAAGAAAGACGGUUUCGGCUGUCACUUGUAGAUGGACCCGCGGCGCAUUAGUUAGUUGGUGAGGUAAUGGCUCACCAAGACGAUGAUGCGUAGCCGACCUGAGAGGGUGAUCGGCCACACUGGGACUGAGACACGGCCCAGACUCCUACGGGAGGCAGCAGUAGGGAAUCUUCCGCAAUGGACGAAAGUCUGACGGAGCAACGCCGCGUGAGUGAAGAAGGUUUUCGGAUCGUAAAACUCUGUUGUUAGAGAAGAACAAGGAUGAGAGUAACUGCUCGUCCCUUGACGGUAUCUAACCAGAAAGCCAUGGCUAACUACGUGCCAGCAGCCGCAGUAA